This 76-nucleotide transfer RNA is filed under the name Magnetospirillum fulvum. Its description in RNAcentral is "Phaeospirillum fulvum tRNA_Pseudo_CAT". The record is from RNAcentral. Lineage: Bacteria; Pseudomonadati; Pseudomonadota; Alphaproteobacteria; Rhodospirillales; Rhodospirillaceae.
GGCGAAGGUCGGUCGGUGAGCAUUUAUCAAACUCAUAACCUGAAGGUCGCAGGUUCAAAUCCUGCCCCCGCAACCA